GUCUGACGGAGCAACGCCGCGUGAACGAUGAAGGCCUUCGGGUCGUAAAGUUCUGUUGUUAGGGAAGAACAAGUACCAGAGUAACUGCUGGUACCUUGACGGUACCUAACCAGAAAGCCACGGCUAACUACGUGCCAGCAGCCGCGGUAAUACGUAGGUGGCAAGCGUUGUCCGGAAUUAUUGGGCGUAAAGCGCGCGCAGGUGGUUUCUUAAGUCUGAUGUGAAAGCCCACGGCUCAACCGUGGAGGGUCAUUGGAAACUGGGGAACUUGAGUGCAGAAGAGGAAAGUGGAAUUCCAAGUGUAGCGGUGAAAUGCGUAGAGAUUUGGAGGAACACCAGUGGCGAAGGCGACUUUCUGGUCUGUAACUGACACUGAGGCGCGAAAGCGUGGGGAGCGAACAGGAUUAGAUACCCUGGUAGUCCACGCCGUAAACGAUGAGUGCUAAGUGUUAGAGGGUUUCCGCCCUUUAGUGCUGCAGCAAACGCAUUAAGCACUCCGCCUGGGGAGUACGGUCGCAAGACUGAAACUCAAAGGAAUUGACGGGGGCCCGCACAAGCGGUGGAGCAUGUGGUUUAAUUCGAAGCAACGCGAAGAACCUUACCAGGUCUUGACAUCCCACUGCCCGGUAUAGAGAUAUACCUUUCCCUUCGGGGACAGUGGUGACAGGUGGUGCAUGGUUGUCGUCAGCUCGUGUCGUGAGAUGUUGGGUUAAGUCCCGCAACGAGCGCAACCCUUGAUCUUAGUUGCCAGCAUUCAGUUGGGCACUCUAAGAUGACUGCCGGUGACAAACCGGAGGAAGGUGGGGAUGACGUCAAAUCAUCAUGCCCCUUAUGACCUGGGCU
RNAcentral lists this ribosomal RNA (843 nucleotides) under Bacillus sp. HZBN136. RNAcentral describes it as "bacterial SSU rRNA". It matches the Rfam family "Bacterial small subunit ribosomal RNA", at positions 381 to 1215 of the family's 1533-position model. The record is from RNAcentral. Lineage: Bacteria; Bacillati; Bacillota; Bacilli; Caryophanales; Bacillaceae. RNAcentral also lists the same sequence under 1 other name.